AUCAACCUGUCAAGGAAAUCAACAAAAUCUUCCGUCUACAUCUUGCUUUACCCUUUGCUAACCCUUUGAAACUGUGAGGAAUAGUACAAAUAUGUUAUCAGUUCUGAAUCCACCCAACAGACUCAUUUACCGUUUGUCUAUCUCUGUUUAUUGUAAACAUGCAUUAAUCGAUACUCAUAACUUCAGCACUCUGAAAUGUUAGACAACCCCAGUAAUCAUUACCCUGAGAAUUAACCGGCACAUCAAUUAUCAGGCCUCCUUAAGUAGCGAAUGAUUCCAUCUGCUCUUUAGCAACAUACUCUGCGGUAGCACCAAGAAUUCCUUCUUCCACAAAUACCUGGACCAGGAAGCAUUCUACUGCAUCCCAAAAUAGUUGCUGUGCCUUUGGCUUCUGAGCUGAAGACAGCUGAGGGGGGAGGAGCAGGCACCAAGUUGCUGCCGCUUUCCUCUACCUCAGACCUACAAGGGCCUGUCUCAGUGCUCAUCUUGGUGAACCCUGAUGGCUCUCUGGAUCAGGAGCCCACACUUGGGACCAGUGGAGCAAAGAUGGCUUCUGAGCUUCCUGUGCUACAAAAUGCCAUGCAGUGGCUGAGUAGCCUCCUCUUCAUGGAUGCACUCUUCUCCCCUCCCUUCCACAUCCUUGCCCUUGUUUAGUCUCAGAUUCCAUUAGAAAUGCUAUUUGGGCAGCAAAUUUCACAGAUUGGAUCCAUCUCAAUGCUGUCAUGCAAAGAAAACACAUCUGUCUGACUCUUCAUUUAAAAUAAGGGAAAAAAUUGAAAUAGCAAAAUGCUGUAGUCGCUCUGAGCUGUCUCCUAAUGAACCUGUUUGUCCCAUGAGCUGUAGUGAGGAGCCUCUCCUCGGGAAGAAUUCUUUGUGCAUAUUAAUAUUAUGCAUGUUUUCCAUGUGACUCCUUCUCACUUGCCCUCACCCCAUCCUUUGAAUUCAUUUAAAUAAAAAUAAUUUAUGUGGACAUUCCUUCGGUCAGGAUUUUCUCCUUCUCUUUCUUAAAGACAUCCAUAACAUUCAGUUGAUGCUUUGCAUCUAAACCAAAUCGUUAUGCCUUUGCAUGUCAUUAGAGCUUUAUAAAGAACAACAGCGACAUCUGCAUGUGCCGUGGUGCCAAGAGAUAGAAAAAAAAUACCGAAAACAAAACUCCACACUGGCUUGGAGGCUGUCUGGCUCUUUCUCCCCAGCAGCCCCUGCCACCACCAUGGCUAGGAGUAAUUGUACAGUGCAAUCACAUCACGCCUCAUCUGAAUAUUCAUAGCAGAAACAAAGCUUUGGAGGAUAAGGGAGGAGCGGGGAUAAUUUAAAUAUAAACCAGCAUCUCAUUUCCAAAUCAAGUUGUGCAGUUACACUGUGCACCAGGAUUCAAUAUUAAACCAACAUUGUUUCAUAGUUUGAAAAUUGGAAGUGAAGAAGAAAGAAGAGAGAGGGGCUCAGUAAAGAAAGGGUGGCAAUACAUUCUCAUUCCUGACUGAGGAAAAACAAGAAAGACAGCACGAGAAUAAAAAUCGUUAAAGUGGUAUUUGAAGAGUCACCAACAGUGGCUAACCAGCUGCUGUUUUACCAAGAAUAAAAUAGCCUAUUGAGGGAACUUUAAAAGCCCUCAAUUAAUAUGUUGUGCAUGUAUGCGAUCUACAAAGAACUCACUGUCUCCCCACCCCCGGUAGAUGCCCCCAAUACUCACAUAGUCCCUAACCACCACCUUUCCUUUCUGUCAGGUGCAGGGGAAGGAUCAGAGCUAUGAAAUAAUUAAUUAACCACUUCAAAAGUGACAACACCCAUCUUCACAAUUAAAGGAUAAAAACAAACACAUACAAAAGGUGACUUCAUUAAUGAGGGGAUAAAUUACCGAUGGCUUCUUCAUUCUCUUUAGUUCAUUACCCCCCAAAUGAAACAGAUAUAAUCCACAUGUUAACAUUUCUUGUCUUCUUUCUUUGUUUUUAGUAUGAUGCUCUUUAUUAUAUUUUAAGUGUUGGUAUUUGUAGAAGCCUCUGCCACUGCAUUCCCCAAAGAGCUACUAGUUUCAGCCCACCGGAGUUUAUAUUCCUUUAAUUGUCUAGUGCAGGGACAUUGCUGCUGUUUUUAAAAAUAUACCGCUCUGCAGGAAUUAGAAGAAUCCAAGGUUGUAUCCAAACUUCAAAGGUUUCCAAGUCAUAAUGAUUUUAGCAAAAGCAGAAGACACAUCAUGGAACAAGCCCCUGUUUGAAGAUAAGCAUCAUAGGGAUCUUUUUUUUUCCUUCCCUGUCUCCCCAACUUUGUACUUCUCCUGGCUCUGAGUGCCCCCUUGCUAACAUGGCUUAAUGAUAUGCAAAUGAAAUAUGCAUAAAACCAUUCUACUGUAUGAUGAUUAAACACUGGAGACAUUAACAGCGGAGGCUUCACUCUGUAAUAAUCCUUCCCGACCAUCCACUUUGAUUGCGGAGUUAUGGAAACCCAUAGCAGUUGGCAGAGAGAGUGAAAGAGAGAAGGAAGGAAAGAUGCGGGGGCACAUCGCCCAUCUCGGUGCUUCUCCCACUCCAGAAGAGCCCCCCCAACCUUCGUACUGCACUCCUAUUGCUGUCUUUUGUAAUCCAUCCAUGCAGUCGCACCAGAGCGAUUAACGGGGGGAAAAAAACCAAAACCUUUUCUCUUAGUGUUUCAAAGCUCAUUAGCCAAACGAUUAUUCCUCAUUAACAGCCAAAGCACAUUCAUUAAAAGGAAGAAUAUGCCCAAAAGAUGCCAGCGCGGUUAAUCCUGAGUCCCGUAACUGGUCUGUAAAUCCCACACUACUUGUAUAUUCCAUGCGAAAGGGGCACGCGCCAAUCCACAAUUAAAAAAAAAAAAAAAAAAAGGAACAAAAAUGAAAACAGUUUGUGUGUUUUGUAAAAUCCACAAGAGCAGCAAUUAAUAUUCCCAUUGAAUGACUUUAUUUUUUUUUGUCUCCCUUUUGUUUCCAGCGCCUGCCCCUGGCUCAGCGCCCAGUGCCAACAGAACACCUUCAGGAUUCACAGCAACGCAGAAACCAUGUCCAGGAUCCCGGCCUCUGCUUGAAACGGAACAGUGUCAUGGCGGAGACAACGGCCUUUGUCUUGCUGGGUGUGAAAACAUCCGCUGUGCUGGCUCCACUGCGGCAGAAUCAAGUUUAAAUGAAAAAAGUGAUUAAAGUCAGCUUUGUGCUUCUUUGGUGUGGAAGACCCCCAAACCCCAAGUAGCCGACUCCCAGGGUCCAAGGAAGGGCUCAUAGUUGGAGCAGCCUGGGCUGUAAUCCUGGCACUUGCGCCUUGCGUUGCUGCUUGCUGUUCGCUCCUGGGGGUCUGGAUAAUCUCCCUUGGUUUUACCGCACUGUCUGGCCCGCAUACAGGGCCCGGUAACAUAUACCCGCUGCUGCUAUCACACGAAACUGUG
This 3390-nucleotide long non-coding RNA is filed under the name Cricetulus griseus (Chinese hamster). Its description in RNAcentral is "lncRNA (ENSCGRG00015035493.1)". The record is from RNAcentral. Lineage: Eukaryota; Metazoa; Chordata; Mammalia; Rodentia; Cricetidae.